GAACAAAAUCAUUGGUCUUGUCCAGGAGGGCGCUGGCGGCAAACACCGCUCGGAGGCAAGAGGGGCUACCUCUCGCAACAGGGUCAAGCAUGCAGGAGAAAUAGCCAAUAGGGCGUUGUCUUGACCCAUGUUUCUGAGUGAGAACUCCGGAAGCAUGUCCUGACUUUUCAGAGACAAACAGAUUGAAAGGAAGUUGGUAGUUGGGGAGGCCCAAGGCAGGUGCUGAGGCAAUAGCUCUUUUCAGGUUGUGGAAACAGGUGAUAGUUUCUUCAGUAAGGUGGAAGGGCUCACUCCUGAGGGUAUCAUAGAGUGGUUGCAUAAGUUUUGAUGCUUCUGGGAUCCAGGACCUGCAGUAUGUUAUAAGACCCAAAAAAGCAUGGAGAGUCUGAUGUGUUGCAGGUAGAGGGAGUUGCAGAAUGGCUUGCACACGUUGAGAAGUCAGAUGUUUGGUGCCAUGGGAAAGGCAGUGUCCCAAGAAGACCACGGAUGGCCGGCACCAUUGUAGUUUUGAUUUUGAAGCUUUGCAACCUGCUGCAGCGAGGAAACACAGGAGGUCUUCUGAGUCACGCUCUGCAGUGAGCAAAUCAGGAGCACAGAGAAGUAGAUCAUCAACAUAUUGAAGUAGAACAACAUCCAGAUGAGAUUUCUGCCAGGGAUCCAAAACAAGAGACAGGGCAUGAGCAAACUGUGUGGGAGAGUUCUGAGCACCCUGUGGCAUAACAGUCCAGGUAUAUUGUUGCCCUUCAUGUGUGAAAGCAAAAAGAAAACGGCAGGAGGGGUCAAGGGGAACACUGAAAAAGGCAUUAGCUAAAUCCACCACAGUGAAUAUAGUAGAAGUUGGUGGGACUUGGGACAAGAGGGUAUGCGGAUUUGGAACAAUAGCAGUGUCCUUUAUAGUGACUUCAUUGACAGCACGAAGGUCCUGCACCAUGCGGUACUGGUCAGGCUGACCUUUAACAGUUCGCUUUUUGACAGGAAAAAG
This is a non-coding RNA of Pelobates cultripes (western spadefoot toad), 982 nucleotides long. The record is from the annotation of a GenBank genome assembly. Lineage: Eukaryota; Metazoa; Chordata; Amphibia; Anura; Pelobatidae.